Long non-coding RNA from Lingula anatina, 610 nucleotides. The record is from RefSeq and is a predicted model, not a curated record. Lineage: Eukaryota; Metazoa; Brachiopoda; Lingulata; Lingulida; Lingulidae.
GCACUUGCUAUUCUGCCAAUAUGUCCGACCCCACUCUCCGUCUAAUCUACGAAUUCUAGUUAGAGUUUACGGUAAGUUGCGAGACUUUGCGCUCUCUCGGCUGACCCUUAUUGUAAUUGUCUGCUCACAAUAUGCCACUCGGUGACACGAUGUUGACAAUCUUGAAGUAUAAAUGAGUACUGGAUUAAAGUAGCUAGAACGGGCUUAUGUGCCGGGAAAUAUAUAUAAAAGAGCUCGUCAUGCCACAGAUAUUUGCGUUGAGCAAACAGCAGCAGACAGUUCGAGCCUCUGCCUCCGUCCUGAUACCAACGAUGGAAGAAGUCCCAGCCUAAGUAUCCUGAAAGAUGAAAUUAAACUUGUAUACGACAGAGCUCUGUGUUGUAAACACACUGACACAUCCUAACUAAUAGUGCUACACAUCCAUCCCAAACUGAAUUAUGAAAUACAACUAGUAGGAAUAUAACCAUCAGAUUGUCGUUGCAGACAAUUUUCGGGAGGAGGAAGGCUAAACAAGAUCAUACAUGUAUACAGACCAGUGGGUUGAAAAUGGUGAUCUGCCAAAAAUAAUGCAACAACAGCAACAAUAAAAACACUAAUGCAUGAAAACUAA